GACGAGCGCUGGCGGCGUGCCUAAUACAUGCAAGUCGAACGCUUUUUCUUUCACCGGAGCUUGCUCCACCGAAAGAAAAAGAGUGGCGAACGGGUGAGUAACACGUGGGUAACCUGCCCAUCAGAAGGGGAUAACACUUGGAGACAGGUGCUAAUACCGUAUAACACUAUUUUCCGCAUGGAAGAAAGUUGAAAGGCGCUUUUGCGUCACUGAUGGAUGGACCCGCGGUGCAUUAGCUAGUUGGUGAGGUAACGGCUCACCAAGGCAACGAUGCAUAGCCGACCUGAGAGGGUGAUCGGCCACACUGGGACUGAGACACGGCCCAGACUCCUACGGGAGGCAGCAGUAGGGAAUCUUCGGCAAUGGACGAAAGUCUGACCGAGCAACGCCGCGUGAGUGAAGAAGGUUUUCGGAUCGUAAAACUCUGUUGUUAGAGAAGAACAAGGAUGAGAGUAAAAUGUUCAUCCCUUGACGGUAUCUAACCAGAAAGCCACGGCUAACUACGUGCCAGCAGCCGCAGUAA
This 523-nucleotide ribosomal RNA is filed under the name uncultured bacterium. RNAcentral describes it as "partial 16S ribosomal RNA". It matches the Rfam family "Bacterial small subunit ribosomal RNA", at positions 28 to 523 of the family's 1533-position model. The record is from RNAcentral.